GGGUGCUUGGCGCAAUGGUAGCGCGCGGUCCUCCUACUGCGUAAUAGCUGUAAGACUGAGGUUGAGGGUUCGAGUCCCUUGGUGCUCG
Molecule: transfer RNA, 88 nt
Filed under: Amylocarpus encephaloides
Lineage: Eukaryota; Fungi; Ascomycota; Leotiomycetes; Helotiales
Rfam family: tRNA
About the family: Transfer RNA (tRNA) molecules are approximately 80 nucleotides in length. Their secondary structure includes four short double-helical elements and three loops (D, anti-codon, and T loops). Further hydrogen bonds mediate the characteristic L-shaped molecular structure. tRNAs have two regions of fundamental functional importance: the anti-codon, which is responsible for specific mRNA codon recognition, and the 3' end, to which the tRNAs corresponding amino acid is attached (by aminoacyl-tRNA synthetases). tRNAs cope with the degeneracy of the genetic code in two manners: having more than one tRNA (with a specific anti-codon) for a particular amino acid; and 'wobble' base-pairing, i.e. permitting non-standard base-pairing at the 3rd anti-codon position.
Source: Rfam by way of RNAcentral